UGUGUUCUAUCCUUCAUUCCACCGGAGUCUGUAUCUGUAUUUAACCAGAUUUCAGUGGUGUGAAGUGCAAAAGACAUGG
Molecule: microRNA precursor, 79 nt
Filed under: Poecilia formosa (Amazon molly)
Lineage: Eukaryota; Metazoa; Chordata; Actinopteri; Cyprinodontiformes; Poeciliidae
Description: miRNA (ENSPFOG00000021161.1)
Rfam family: mir-205 microRNA precursor family
Source: RNAcentral